RNAcentral lists this ribosomal RNA (493 nucleotides) under uncultured bacterium. RNAcentral's name for it is "bacterial SSU rRNA". It matches the Rfam family "Bacterial small subunit ribosomal RNA", at positions 28 to 507 of the family's 1533-position model. The record is from RNAcentral.
GAUGAACGCUAGCUACAGGCUUAACACAUGCAAGUCGAGGGGAAACGAUAUUGGAAGCUUGCUUCCGAUAGGCGUCGACCGGCGCACGGGUGAGUAACGCGUAUCCAACCUGCCCGUCACUUGGGAAUAACCUUGCGAAAGUAAGACUAAUACCCAAUGAUAUCCCACGAAGGCAUCCGAAUGGGAUUAAAGAUUUAUCGGUGAUGGAUGGGGAUGCGUCUGAUUAGCUUGUUGGCGGGGUAACGGCCCACCAAGGCAACGAUCAGUAGGGGUUCUGAGAGGAAGGUCCCCCCACAUUGGAACUGAGACACGGUCCAAACUCCUACGGGAGGCAGCAGUGAGGAAUAUUGGUCAAUGGGCGAGAGCCUGAACCAGCCAAGUAGCGUGCAGGAUGACGGCCCUAUGGGUUGUAAACUGCUUUUAUAAGGGAAUAAAGUGGGUCUCGUGAGACUUUUUGCAUGUACCUUAUGAAUAAGGACCGGCUAAUUCCGUG